UGGGGAAUAUUGCACAAUGGGCGCAAGCCUGAUGCAGCCAUGCCGCGUGUAUGAAGAAGGCCUUCGGGUUGUAAAGUACUUUCAGCGAGGAGGAAGGCGGUAAGGUUAAUAACCUUAUCGAUUGACGUUACUCGCAGAAGAAGCACCGGCUAACUCCGUGCCAGCAGACGCGGUAAUACGGAGGGUGCAAGCGUUAAUCGGAAUUACUGGGCGUAAAGCGCACGCUGGCGGUCUGUCAAGUCGGAUGUGAAAUCCCCGGGCUCAACCUGGGAACUGCAUUCGAAACUGGCAGGCUAGAGUCUUGUAGAGGGGGGUAGAAUUCCAGGUGUAGCGGUGAAAUGCGUAGAGAUCUGGAGGAAUACCGGUGGCGAAGGCGGCCCCCUGGACAAAGACUGACGCUCAGGUGCGAAAGCGUGGGGAGCAAACA
RNAcentral lists this ribosomal RNA (427 nucleotides) under uncultured bacterium. Its description in RNAcentral is "partial 16S ribosomal RNA". It matches the Rfam family "Bacterial small subunit ribosomal RNA", at positions 355 to 774 of the family's 1533-position model. The record is from RNAcentral.